Molecule: long non-coding RNA, 1573 nt
Filed under: Drosophila guanche
Lineage: Eukaryota; Metazoa; Arthropoda; Insecta; Diptera; Drosophilidae
Source: RNAcentral
AUUUAUCAAUCAAUUCUCCGCAAGAGUGGAGACUUCCUCUUCUUGGAAUGUGUACAAAUUAAGUUUAAAACUAAAUAGUGCAACGAAUAAAACUAGCAUAAGACUAGCAUGUACAGUUGGGACAACAAUUAUAGCACCACUACAACUCAUUAUGUUUUUGGCUAAUAAGAAAAACAAUUACUGGUGCGAUUUUUUUAAAGGCUUAGUUUUAUUUUUCAUAUAGUUAAGUAUUUUCCAUUAACAAAAAAAAGUGUUGCCUUUCUUCAAAUUUCUGUAUUUAUAUUUAUUAUACCCGGUACUUGAAGAGUAAAUAGGGUAUAUUGUAUUUGUGCGAAUAACGGUUGUAUGUAACGCACAGCAGGAAACGUUUCCGACCCCAUAAAGUAUAUAUAUUCUUGAUCAGCAUCAAUAGCCGAGUCGAUUGAGCCAUGUCUGCUAGUUCUCAGAGACUAUACGAGCUAGAGCCACCAAAUUUUGGUACCAUUAGAACUAUUUUAUGUAAAUUAUUUCGCGAGUGAUUUCGCGGAAUUGACUUUGUAUAAACCACGUAUUUAUUAGUUUUGACUAAUAUUUCAUUGUUUCUGGCAUAAAAGCUAAUAAUAAGGAUUACAAGAAGACGUGGAAACCUCUGAAAUGCGAAGAAGCGCGACCCUAGCAAACAAUUUUUGUUUGACGUAAAAACUUACAGAGAAUUUGGUCAAUUGGUAGGAAGUUUCAGUAAAAUGAUUAAAACGCCUUAAACUAUGAGGAAAAGUUUGAAGCACGUGGAUGAAAACUAUCAAUGACCCCUUUUAUGGCCAAAAGGCUGAUUCGUGAGAACAAGAAGGUUCCCUUCAAGUCUGCUAUCGAGCUUCAAAAAAGAGCUUAAAAUAAAAGCGACAGGCUAGAAAGUUUGGAUAUAUCUUAGACAACAAAGCCUAAAAGCCUGCAGCCCAAAAAAAAUCGCAUUUUUAAACGCCAGACAUAUUACUAAGCACAUGCAGUUUGCAAGGGAACAUGACAAUUGGACAUCCCUAUAAUGAAGGCAAAUUUGAAUGUCAGAUGGGUAAAAAGGGAUCUCGAUCAUACUUAAGAUGUCCAAGGAACGCCAGUACACCAAAGAAAACCUUUAAAUAUAAAAGGUUAAAUUUUAUGGUGUAUUCAAUACAUUGAAUAAAAACCAUUAAGUAUUAGCACGUUUUCGUGUUUGCAGAAAAUGAAAUAGGACUAGUAUGGGUCUUGCAACCGGUAAAUAACCCAAGCAUGAAAGCAAAGGAACGGUUCGGGCCAACAAUGAACGUGUUAGAGUGGCCUGCGCAGUCACUUGACAUGAAACCCAUCGAAAAUUUGUAGUCCGCCAUCCAAAAAGCAGUUGCUGCUUCCAAACCAACCACUGUCGGAUCACUUUGAGAACAAAUUUAAGAGUCCUGGUCCAAAGCUCCCCAAAAGCUAUGCCUGGACUUGGUGGAUUCCAUGCCAAAACGCUGCGCAGCUGUUAUUGCCACAAUAGGACAUUGAACUAAAUACUGAACGAUAAAUAUAGAUUUUGAAUUAAUAGUUCAGAAGUGGUAACUAAGAAAUUCGUUACUUGUUG